CAUUCUUUGAGAUGAGGAGAGUAUUCCUGUACCAAGGGGCCUCCCCCCCCCAAUCCUGUGCUUGCUUUGAGUACAAUCAUCCAGCAAAGCGUUCCCUAUCUCCCUCGCGCUGACACACAUACACUCUCUCUCUCUCUCUCUCUCUCUCUCUCUGCUCAUCAUGCUUCGACUUUGAAGUCACUGCUUUCUCUUUCUCUUUUUUGGUCUUUGAUUCAAUAACAUUCUGUGCAUAGUUCCUGUAAUGCCUGGAUCCUUGUGCCUUUAUUUUUUCUUCCUCUGCCAGUGCAGGAACGCAUGGAAGCAAUGCUUACCGAAUGUCUGAUCCAUCGCUGGACACAAGAAUUAAACUCACCGUCGGGAUUGUGUCCCAGCUGGAGACUGUAAACCACUGGUGGCUGGGCAGAUGGACGUGUCCAACCAAAACAGGACGUUCAGCCACACGACCAGCGUUCUGCACUGAGCGCCACACGGUUGUUGUGAAGUGGUGUGUGAAGUGAUGCGCCUCUGUGUUACUUUUCCUAAACCCAAUGUUUGUUUUGUUUCCUAGACCUAAGAUUAGGAAGUUAUUUUGAUCCCAACCAGUUUGUUUUUCCGAAAACCUUUUACUGCUACAAAUAACGUAUGUUCUGUUGCAUAAUGUCGUCACGUGUAGACGCAGAUAAUACUUCCAAAUAAAUCGUAUCGAGGUCGCGCUGAACGUCCUCUUUCAUCCUGUUUCACAAAUUGCCAUGAGAUUGUGUAAAUGAGAGUCUUUGUUUUUGCUUGAUUGUGUGAGCAAUUGCAUGCC
Gasterosteus aculeatus aculeatus (three-spined stickleback) is the source of this 787-nucleotide long non-coding RNA. The record is from Ensembl. NCBI's taxonomy places the organism in Eukaryota, Metazoa, Chordata, Actinopteri, Perciformes, Gasterosteidae.